Molecule: ribosomal RNA, 67 nt
Filed under: Symbiodinium sp. PHSCHH1A
Lineage: Eukaryota; Dinophyceae; Suessiales; Symbiodiniaceae
Description: partial 24S ribosomal RNA
Source: RNAcentral
CAGCACUUCCUAGCAUGAAGUCAGACAAGUGAACCCGCCGAAUUUAAGCAUAUCAAUAAGCGGAGGA